AUUUAAAAAAUUAUUAUUUAUUUUUAUUUAAUUUAAAUUUAUUAAAAUAUUAUAUUUUUAUUAAUUAAUUGAAAAAUUUUUUUUUAUUAUAGUAUAUUAGUAUAGAGAUAGAAUUUUUUAAAAUUUUUAAAAGAAAUUUAAAUUAUGUACCUUGUGUAUCAGGGUUUAUUAAAUAAAAUUUUUAUAUUAAAUUUUCUCGAAUUUAGAAGAGCUAAUUUUAUAUUUAUAUUAUUGUAAAAUAAAUAUUUAUAAUAUAAUAUUAGUAAUGAAACGUUAUUCGUUUCUAAAUAUAUCUAGUUUUUUAAGAAAAAAAUUUAAUUUUAUUAAUAAUUUUAAAUUUUAUUUUUUGUAUUAAAUUUAAAUUAUUAUUAAAUAAUUUUAGGGAUAAGCUUAAAAUUAAAUUUUUAUAAUUAAAUAAUGAUAUAAAAUAAAUGUAGAAUUAAUAAUUUUUAUCAAAAAGUUUUUUAUAAUUUAUAUUUUAUUAUAUAUAAUUUUUAUUUAAUUUAAUUUUUUUAUUAAAAUGAAUUAUUAAAUAAUUUAAUUUUUUUAAUAAUGAUAAAAUUAGUAUAAUUUAAAUUAUAUUAUUUUUUUAAAAAAAGGUAAUAUUAAGGAAUUCGGCAAAUAUAUUUUUCACCUGUUUAUUAAAAACAUCUCUUUUUGAAUAUAAUUUAAAGUAGGGCCUGCCCACUGAGUAUUUAAAGGGCCGCAGUAUCUUAACUGUGCAAAGGUAGCAUAAUCAUUAGUUUUUUAAUUGAAAGCUGGAAUGAAUGGUUUGAUGAGAAAAUAGCUGUCUCAAUAUUAAUUAUUUAAAACUUUAUUUUUAAGUUAAAAAGCUUAAAUUUUUAUAAAAGACGAGAAGACCCUAUAGAGUUUAAUUAAUUGAUAAAUUUUUUAUUUUAGAAUUAAUUAUAAAAAAUUUAUUUAUUAAUUUGAUUGGGGUGAUUAAAAAAUUUAGUUAACUUUUUUUAUAUUAUUACAUUAAUUUAUGAAUACUUGAUCCAUAAUAAUGAUUAAAAGAUUAAAUUACCUUAGGGAUAACAGCGUUAUUUUUUUUUAGAGUUCAUAUUAAAAAAAAAGUUUGCGACCUCGAUGUUGGAUUAAAGUUAAUUUUUGGUGCAGAAGCUAAAAAAUUGGGUCUGUUCGACCUUUAAAACUUUACAUGAUCUGAGUUUAAACCGGUGUGAGCCAGGUUGGUUUCUAUCUUUAUAAAAUUAAAAUAUUUUAGUACGAAAGGACCAAAUAUU
This 1244-nucleotide ribosomal RNA is filed under the name Coccinellidae sp. 1 EF-2015. Its description in RNAcentral is "16S ribosomal RNA". The stretch from base 1034 to 1192 matches the Rfam family "Archaeal large subunit ribosomal RNA", at positions 2542 to 2701 of the family's 2987-position model. Lineage: Eukaryota; Metazoa; Arthropoda; Insecta; Coleoptera; Coccinellidae. The record is from RNAcentral.